GUAGGUGGCAAGCGUUGUCCGGAAUUAUUGGGCGUAAAGCGCGCGCAGGCGGUUCUUUAAGUCUGAUGUGAAAGCCCACGGGCUCAACCGUGGAGGGUCAUUGGAAACUGGAGAACUUGAGUACAGAAGAGGAAAGCGGAAUUCCACGUGUAGUGGUGAAAUGCGUAGAGAUGUGGAGGAACACCAGUGGCGAAGGCGGCUUUCUGGUCUGUAACUGACGCUGAGGCGCGAAAGCGUGGGGAGCAAACAGGAUUAGAUACCCUGGUAGUCCACGCCGUAAACGAUGAGUGCUAAGUGUUAGGGGGUUUCCGCCCCUUAGUGCUGCAGCUAACGCAUUAAGCACUCCGCCUGGGGAGUACGGCCGCAAGGCUG
Molecule: ribosomal RNA, 372 nt
Filed under: uncultured organism
Description: partial 16S ribosomal RNA
Rfam family: Bacterial small subunit ribosomal RNA
Source: RNAcentral